Molecule: ribosomal RNA, 253 nt
Filed under: uncultured bacterium
Lineage: Bacteria
Description: partial 16S ribosomal RNA
Rfam family: Bacterial small subunit ribosomal RNA
Source: RNAcentral
UACGAAGGGGGCGAGCGUUGUUCGGAAUUACUGGGCGUAAAGGGCGCGCAGGCGGCUCUGAAAGUCAGAUGUGAAAGCCCCGGGCUUAACCUGGGAAUUGCAUUUGAUACUCUGGAGCUUGAGUACGGGAGAGGAGAGUGGAAUUCCCAGUGUAGAGGUGAAAUUCGUAGAUAUUGGGAAGAACACCGGUGGCGAAGGCGGCUCACUGGCUCGUUUCUGACGCUCAGGCGCGACAGCGUGGGGAUCAAACAGG